This 790-nucleotide ribosomal RNA is filed under the name uncultured bacterium. RNAcentral describes it as "bacterial SSU rRNA". It matches the Rfam family "Bacterial small subunit ribosomal RNA", at positions 8 to 796 of the family's 1533-position model. The record is from RNAcentral.
AGAGUUUGAUCCUGGCUCAGGACGAACGCUGGCGGCGUGCCUAACACAUGCAAGUCGAACGAAGCUUGAUUGCGGAUUCUUCGGAAGAAGCAUGAUAUGACUUAGUGGCGGACGGGUGAGUAACGCGUGAGCAACCUGCCUUUCAGAGGGGGAUAACAGUUGGAAACGACUGCUAAUACCGCAUAACGUGUUGAUAUCGCAUGGUAUUAACACCAAAGCUGAGGCGCUGAAAGAUGGGCUCGCGUCCGAUUAGGUAGUUGGUGGGGUAAAGGCCUACCAAGCCGACGAUCGGUAGCCGGACUGAGAGGUUGAACGGCCACAUUGGGACUGAGACACGGCCCAGACUCCUACGGGAGGCAGCAGUGGGGGAUAUUGCACAAUGGGCGAAAGCCUGAUGCAGCAACGCCGCGUGAGGGAAGACGGUUUUCGGAUUGUAAACCUCUGUCUUUGGUGAAGAAGAAAGUGACGGUAGCCAAGGAGGAAGCCACGGCUAACUACGUGCCAGCAGCCGCGGUAAUACGUAGGUGGCAAGCGUUGUCCGGAAUUACUGGGUGUAAAGGGAGCGCAGGCGGGACUGCAAGUUGGAUGUGAAAUACCGCAGCUUAACUGCGGAGCUGCAUCCAAAACUGUAGUUCUUGAGUGAAGUAGAGGUAGGCGGAAUUCCGAGUGUAGCGGUGAAAUGCGUAGAUAUUCGGAGGAACACCGGUGGCGAAGGCGGCCUACUGGGCUUUUACUGACGCUGAGGCUCGAAAGUGUGGGGAGCAAACAGGAUUAGAUACCCUGGUAGUCC